Molecule: long non-coding RNA, 1794 nt
Organism: Neodiprion virginianus
Lineage: Eukaryota; Metazoa; Arthropoda; Insecta; Hymenoptera; Diprionidae
Exons: 2
Source: RefSeq, a predicted model, not a curated record
GCUAGAAUAUCCCCGCAGUUUCACCGAUUCCGAGUGUAAUAAAUUAAAGGGGCGAUACUCGUUUUUCCACUGGUUGAAAUUAAUCAGAGACAAUUUUGAUUUGCGUUCGACGUCGAACGGAGUGCUUUGAAUAGAUCCUAAACUUGUUGCCUCCGCGGAGUCUCAAUUACAGUGCGACGAGUAUGUAUAAUAAUUGCGUGUACGUAUGUUAGUCGAUCGAUGAAGCAUCUCAACCGGAUAUUGGAUGUGCAGCUGCGGUGGGCUUCUUCUCUGUAGAUGUAAAAUAAAUCUAUGAAAACCGACGCCAACUGUUCGUGGCGUAAUGAUUAUAUGCGACACGGGAUAUUUGUGGAUUUAAAUAAACAAGGAAAUACGGUCAAUCUAAUAUCAUAAAUAUGUUGUUAUAGGUUUUCCGACUCUCGGAAAAAUAACGAGGUGACUCACGGCACGUUCUAAAGAGUCUAAUUUUUGUCAGGCAAUCCAAAUUAACUGUAACCACUGUUGCAAUCAAAGUACUCGUGAGAAUUUCCGAUUCAAUACUGUAAGAUUCGUCAAUUUUGCAAAUUAUUUCCGAUUAUACGUAUAUUGAUUAUUGUACCCUGCGACAGCAAAGGUAUUGCCACAUUAACACGCUUCAGACGCACGUCGCGAAACUUGGUUUAUCCACGCAGUAACAAUUACUUGUAUUUUAAUCAGACGGUUCUUCUUUUUCACUCAAGUUGAUUAUAUUGGUGUCUGAUUGUAAUACUUGGCGUUUAGUUUAAUUUCUUUUCUACUCAUGAACUUCCAUUUGGUGGAUUGAUUUGGGCCCGACAUGUGAAUUACACAGUCUUAUACUGCAAAAUGAUCUAUCAAUGUAAUGUAGUAAAUAUACGGUGCAUUAUGUCCAUAUACAAAGUGCCAAUAUGCAAUGCACUUCGAUUUUAGAUUGAAGUAUCGUUAACGAAAAGAAUCAUGCAGAUUUCAAUUUCUUACACCAUAUUACCGGUGCACUUGCGACGAGGAGUUUGCUUUUAUUGUAAUAAAUAAUGAGACGAUUACGUAGAACGUGAAAGUUUCAAUAUAUACUUGAUGGAGAAAUAUGCGUGACAGCUGAAAUCACAUUCAUUCAAGCGAAAUAAGAAUUGGAAAAUGUCAGCAUGGCAAUAUGACUGGAUUAUAGGAAAGGCGACUGAAGUCAUUAUUACUUAUUCCUCAUUACAACUACAUGCAUUUGCGGCUUUGACAUGAGAACAGAAACGCAGUGGCAGAAACGGCGUUUUGGUCAGCCGUGGGCGGAAUACCUAAACAUCGCGAGUGACGCGUUUCAUGAUUCAUUCAUGGCAAAAUCAUAACUCACAACACUUGAACCAGUAGCGAAUGGUAACAAGGUGUUAGUGUAGGGGCUCAAAUGUAUAUGGGGCAUCAAUUAAUCAUGUCGUUUGAGCGAUACUCGAGGUGAAAACGGCCACUUACACGUUAUAUCGUGAUGGGUAAAAUCGAUUGUUUCUGUAAUAAAAAUCUGCGUAUAACCCGAGAGUAAUAAACGUCAGAAGCAUUAUAUUUCAAUGUAAAUAUUUUUAUUGUUGAUUGAAACCAAGAAUAGCACAGCUAUUCCAUGUAGAUAAACAUGUAUACAACGUGGGUACAUACAUAACGGUUUAUAGUUUGUAAUAAUAAAAGAAAAACCUCUGAAAAUGUGUAAAAUUAUCUAUGAACGUACAACGCUGUAAAAUGCGCUGCCCUGAAAUCACUGUACAUUUAAAUUAUUAUUAAUUGGCAACUAAAAUUCUUUGCAAUUGCUUUACAAUAAAA